Molecule: transfer RNA, 69 nt
Filed under: Ictidomys tridecemlineatus (thirteen-lined ground squirrel)
Lineage: Eukaryota; Metazoa; Chordata; Mammalia; Rodentia; Sciuridae
Description: Spermophilus tridecemlineatus (thirteen-lined ground squirrel) tRNA
Rfam family: tRNA
About the family: Transfer RNA (tRNA) molecules are approximately 80 nucleotides in length. Their secondary structure includes four short double-helical elements and three loops (D, anti-codon, and T loops).
Source: Rfam by way of RNAcentral
GGGGUUGUGGCUCAGUGGCAAAGCACUCACCUUGCACGUGUGAGGCCCUGGGUUCGAUCCUCAGCACCA